GACGCCGACAACAGUCUUCAUAGUAGAAGUGCCGUGUGUGUUUUCAAAUAUUUGAUAACAGCUGAUGACAGCCGAUGCCGAGAGUCGAACCUGAGACUACAGGACCCAGAAUGCCCUUGGGACCGUGACCGCGAACGCUUUCUGCAGGAGGUAUGCCUGCUUCAGCAGCACCUGAAAGAGCGACCCGUUCCUGUGAAAUGUGAGCCGUCACGCCGGGUCACAGGUGAGCCCAA
Long non-coding RNA from Conger conger (European conger), 233 nucleotides. RefSeq lists it as uncharacterized. The transcript has 3 exons. NCBI's taxonomy places the organism in Eukaryota, Metazoa, Chordata, Actinopteri, Anguilliformes, Congridae. The record is from RefSeq and is a predicted model, not a curated record.